GUUUGAUCCUGGCUCAGAUUGAACGCUGGCGGCAUGCCUUACACAUGCAAGUCGAACGGUAACAGGUCUUCGGAUGCUGACGAGUGGCGAACGGGUGAGUAAUACAUCGGAACGUGCCCAGUAAUGGGGGAUAGCUCGGCGAAGGCCGGAUUAAUACCGCAUACGCCCUGAGGGGGAAAGUGGGGGAUCGCAAGACCUCACGUUAUUGGAGCGGCCGAUGGCUGAUUAGCUAGUUGGUAGGGUAAAGGCCUACCAAGGCGACGAUCAGUAGCUGGUCUGAGAGGACGAUCAGCCACACUGGGACUGAGACACGGCCCAGACUCCUACGGGAGGCAGCAGUGGGGAAUUUUGGACAAUGGGGGAAACCCUGAUCCAGCAAUGCCGCGUGUGCGAAGAAGGCCUUCGGGUUGUAAAGCACUUUUGUCAGGGAAGAAAUCCUUUGGGCUAAUACCCUAGGGGGAUGACGGUACCUGAAGAAUAAGCACCGGCUAACUACGUGCCAGCAGCCGCGGUAAUACGUAGGGUGCAAGCGUUAAUCGGAAUUACUGGGCGUAAAGCGUGCGCAGGCGGUUGUGUAAGACAGGUGUGAAAUCCCCGGGCUUAACCUGGGAAUUGCAUUUGUGACUGCACGACUAGAGUGUGUCAGAGGGGGGUGGAAUUCCACGUGUAGCAGUGAAAUGCGUAGAUAUGUGGAGGAACACCAAUGGCGAAGGCAGCCCCCUGGGAUAAACACUGACGCUCAUGCACGAAAGCGUGGGGGAGCAAACAGGAUUAGAUACCCUGGUAGUCCACGCCCUAAACGAUGUCACUAGUUGUUGGGAUUUACUUCCUUGGUAACGUAGCUAACGCGUGAAG
RNAcentral lists this ribosomal RNA (855 nucleotides) under uncultured bacterium. Its description in RNAcentral is "bacterial SSU rRNA". It matches the Rfam family "Bacterial small subunit ribosomal RNA", at positions 11 to 864 of the family's 1533-position model. The record is from RNAcentral.